UACGGAGGGCGCGAGCGUUACCCGGAUUUACUGGGCGUAAAGGGCGUGUAGGCGGUCUGGGUCGUCCCAUGUGAAAGGCCACGGCUCAACCGUGGAGGAGCGUGGGAUACGCUCAGGCUAGACGGUGGGAGAGGGUGGUGGAAUUCCCGGAGUAGCGGUGAAAUGCGCAGAUACCGGGAGGAACGCCGAUGGCGAAGGCAGCCACCUGGCUCACUGGUGACGCUGAGGCGCGAAAGCGUGGGGAGCAAACCGG
Molecule: ribosomal RNA, 253 nt
Filed under: uncultured bacterium
Lineage: Bacteria
Description: partial 16S ribosomal RNA
Rfam family: Bacterial small subunit ribosomal RNA
Source: RNAcentral